Long non-coding RNA from Dioscorea cayenensis subsp. rotundata (Guinea yam), 1375 nucleotides. RefSeq lists it as uncharacterized. NCBI's taxonomy places the organism in Eukaryota, Viridiplantae, Streptophyta, Magnoliopsida, Dioscoreales, Dioscoreaceae. The transcript is spliced from 3 exons. The record is from RefSeq and is a predicted model, not a curated record.
CGAUACCCUGGCAUCUUGCGGAGAAUGCCAGAGUUUCUCUGACAGUCAUCUCGCCAAUGUGCAGGUCAUGUUGACUGAUGUAAGCAGCUGUUCUCUGGGGGAUGAACUCUUGCAUCCCGUGGCCAUUGAUAUGGACAAUUGGAAAUGCCAUGUUUCCUGUGAGCCAAACUAUCAUGUUGUUGUUUCUAUGGGAUGCAGAGGAAUAUAUCUAGUCACCCCCUGUAUGAGUGGGAGGUAACUCAUAUCUGUUCUUUUAUUUAUUUAUUUAUAUUAAUGGUUGAAUUUGUUCAACAAUAAUCAUUAACGUAGAGAGUUAAAAAUAAUUGCAAUUUCAAGAACUAGUGAAAAUUUUCAAGUAGUUAAUAUGUCAAAGUCAGUAAUAAGACUCUAAUGUAGUAUUAUCCAAUUAGAUGAUGAAUGAUUAUUAACUUAAUUGUAUAAUAAAAUAAUAUUAUUUCCAUAACUCCUUGAUGAUGACCGCUCACAACCUAUCUUGUUGAUGGUCUUGGAUUGCUAACAAUAAGAAUUGUUGUGUUUUUUAUUUUUUUCUGAUUGUCAUAAGCUGGUUCAGGGGCUAAUAAGAAUGUUUUAUUUUUUAUUUUUAUUUUUCUUCUGGUUGGCAUAAGCUUGAGUCAAAGGGCAAUAGUUGGAAUUGCAUUAAUUUGCCUGCAUGUGCAACAUGCGCCAUAAAAAAAAUAUAUAACAAUUACUGACAGAAAUUUCUUUAGAUUUUAACUUUGUAAUUUCUUUGUCGUGUGUUUUUCGUGAUAUGUUACUGUAACAUCUUAUUUUAUAUUCAUGCACGUGAUUCAUCAAAAAUAAAAACAGAAUUAAGAUUGUACUCACCUAGCAUUUAUAUUUUAUUUUCAUGCAUGUGAUUCAUCAUAAAUAAAAAAAAAAACACAAUUAAUAUUGUAUCACCUUGCAUUUAUAUAUUUGCAAGAGGCCUUGCAUUGACUUCUAUAAAGGGAAAGCCAACAAGGAGCAUUGAUUUACAUGAAAGGAAAGCCAAUCUGGAGCAUAUCAACUGGGCAAACAAUGGCCUCAUCAUCAAGAAAGUUGGAUCCAACCACCUUUUUGAUAUCUAACCGAUCAAUCUUAUUAACUCAUUAAAAAAUUUGGUUAAUCAACUUAACAGGGUCAUAAAACUCCUGGUGGAUCCCACUUAGUCUUCUUUCAUUAAGAACUUUAAGGACUUAGCAACCCCAUUCCCUAUAUUUGUUAUAGUUGUUGACACAAUUCUUCACCACAGGUGGCCUAUUUAAUCCUUUCCUAUUUGUACUCUCCUGGUAUUUGUUGUGUCAUUUUUAUUUCAAUAAACAUGAUUUAUUUUUUUAUUUAUUUUUAUAUUUCUUGAGCUACCUGUUGUUUUUAA